GCCUUCGUGGUGUUAGUGGUCAGCAUGCUGGGCCCGUAUUCCAGAGGUCCGUGGUUCGAUUCCCGAGGAAGGCG
RNAcentral lists this transfer RNA (74 nucleotides) under Stegodyphus mimosarum. It matches the Rfam family "tRNA". Rfam says of the family: Transfer RNA (tRNA) molecules are approximately 80 nucleotides in length. The record is from Rfam by way of RNAcentral. Lineage: Eukaryota; Metazoa; Arthropoda; Arachnida; Araneae; Eresidae.